AUCACAUCUAUGACACUCUGACUCUCCCUCUCUCUGCAGAUCCGUUCUAGGUUGAUCACAAAGCCUGCCUGAGACUGAAUUUACAAUUCCCCAAUCAAGACAUAUCUGUAUUUAUCCUCUCCCUGAACACUGCGGCCCACUGACCCUUGUUUGCUCAUCAUCUCCACGCUCCAGCAAGGGGCAGGUGUGAAGUCUGACUGCUCUGUGAAGUGUUUAAACACAAUUCUGUGUCUUCCAUUCACAUUUAUAGAUGUCCCCCCCAACUUCUUUUCCAGCAGUUUCCUUCAGCCUCUCUGAGAAGAUAAUCUGAGGAGCAUUUGAGACAAGCUGCUCAAAAAAGCCCACAAGAAACACACAUCCACUCCAAGAGCAAGACAAAAAGCAAGGACAGGGUUUCUCUGUGUAGCUUUGGAGCCUAUCCUGGCACUCACUCUGGAGACCAGGCUGGCCUCGAACUGAACUCACAGAGAUCCGCCACAGAUUCAAGAGUCUUAUGAAGAUGCUUUAGACUCCAUGGCCCUGUCAAAGGGCAGAACCAUCCUGUCACUGGUGAGAUUUUCUGUAUGUGCCUGCCACAGCUGCAAAUUCGGC
Molecule: long non-coding RNA, 591 nt
Filed under: Cricetulus griseus (Chinese hamster)
Lineage: Eukaryota; Metazoa; Chordata; Mammalia; Rodentia; Cricetidae
Description: lncRNA (ENSCGRG00015029286.1)
Source: RNAcentral